RNAcentral lists this transfer RNA (40 nucleotides) under Potentilla multifida var. ornithopoda. RNAcentral's name for it is "partial tRNA-Leu". The record is from RNAcentral. Lineage: Eukaryota; Viridiplantae; Streptophyta; Magnoliopsida; Rosales; Rosaceae.
UAGUCCGAUAAAUCUUUUUAUUUUGAAGAAUUUUUUAAUC